RNAcentral lists this unclassified non-coding RNA (582 nucleotides) under Hevea brasiliensis (rubber tree). Lineage: Eukaryota; Viridiplantae; Streptophyta; Magnoliopsida; Malpighiales; Euphorbiaceae. The record is from RNAcentral.
GCACUAUGAGUUUACUGUUAUGCCCUUUGUCUUAACGAAUGCUCCAGCUACAUUUCAAGCCCUUAUGACCUACAUUUUCUAACCAUUUCUGAGGAAAUUUGUUUUGGUAUUUUUUGAUGAUAUCCUAGUUCAUAGUUCUUCUUGGGAGGAGCAUUUGUAGCACCUAGAAGAAUUUUUUUAAGGUUCUAUAGCAGCAGAGGCUAUAUGCUAAGCUUAACAAGUGCUCUUUUGGGAACCAUGAGAUCGAUUAUUUGGGGCACAUCAUUACUGGCAAAGGAGUGGCAACUGAUCCUGCCAAGAUCCAAGCCAUGGCAUCUUGGCCAAGCCCCAAAUUAGUAAAGGAACUUAGGAGCUUCUUGGGAUUAACCGGAUACUAUAGAAAAUUUGUUCCUCAUUAUGGAGUAAUUAGCAAGCCCCUGACUUACUUGUUCAAAAAUGAUGCCUUUACAUGGGAUGACAAGGCUCAAUAGGCCUUUGAGACACUCAAGGCUGCUAUGUCUCAAGCUCCUAUACUAGCUUUGCCAAACUUUACAAAACCUUUCAUAAUAGAGACUGAUGUGUUACGUACUAUAGAAAGAAAUA